CGAGUUCACAGACCUUGGAGGGAGGAAUGCCAGUGCAGCGACAAAGCGUAUUCUUGCGUACACCCUUCAUGAUGACCUGGCCACACUUUUUUCGUGGGUUGGCCGAAAGGGGAAACUUAGUUUCUCUAGUCUGAAGACUACAGCUGCAAUUAUUGUUGCUGCAAGACGGAUGACAGAAGGCAGCACUAACGAUAUUGAAGACACCAUCAAAUCGUGGCUAAGGCAUGCUCCAGAAAGGGCCGGUAGCCAUAAGAAGCCAAGCGCUGAGGUCUGCCUGCCUCAAGAAUAAGUGGAGGCCAUUCCAUUGUAAAGCACUGCAGCUAUGACCUGAAGACUGCACAGGCAUCAGAGGCUGCUUGGUUGUGGGCGUGUGCAUCUGGUGGAACUUAGGGGAUCUGCUGGGCUACGCCAAGGCAUGUUUCGUGGACUAGAGGCAGCUACUCAGAGAUUUUUUUUUUAACUUUGCACAGUGCAAUUGCAGAAUUUUUUUUCAUGCAUUGGAAGGAUUCUGCCUGUCAUCUGCAUUGUCAAAUCACUUGCAAAGUCAUGCUCUUGCUAGGCUCCAUCAAUAUAGUUUUGUGCAGAAUUUGUGUGCGAGAACUUUUUAUUGUUUUUGUUUUUUAAUGUCAUGGCAGUCUUCUGUAUUGGUGAAAUUGCUACCAUUGCAAAGCCAUGGUUUUCUGAAAUGCUGUUAUUCUGCUACUGUACAAAACUUGUGUGCGAAAUACUUACAUUAGACGCAAGAUCUUUUUACCUCAAUAUUUCAGAGUAUUUCUGUUUGUUCUGUAUGUGCAUCUACAUGUCCACCCAUUGUUAGCAUAAACACACCAGUGCAUGGUUCGUGCACAAUGCAGUGCACAAGCGGCAAAAACCACAUGCAUGUGUGAAAUGCUAAGGCAGUGUAUUCCGUGGGAUCGUUGCCCAGAUUUCUCUGCACAGAAGCGGUUGGCUUGCCAGGAAUAAAUUUGACUGUUUUGCAGUCUUGCUCAUCUGCCUGAGACCUAGCUCGCAAGGAGGAUCCUGAAUCCUUUGCUUGUAUCUGUAGGCCACCGUCGUAAGUGGCACAUUCACUGUUGCAUAAAUCCCACGCUUACUGUAGCCCUACUGUGAAGUGUCCACAAUCUGUCCUCUUUGCAUGGCUGUGAGAAUCCCAGCCAUUUCCUGUUUCUGAGCGCAAGGAAUGAAAAGACUGCGACGCAUGCCUUAGUGGCAAUUCAGAGGAACCCUCAAAAGACCAAAUAAAUAUGUUAGCUUUUUUAUCCUGCAAUUGCAGCUUGGACUGACCCCGACAUAUACGGGCAUCACUGAAGCAUGCUGUGCAUAAGUAUAGCAAACAAGCUGCUCCUGUUGCAUUAUGCUAGUGUCGUGUUCUGCCGUGCUCUAUCUGUGAAAUGAACACAUACUGGCCUAUUGUCCAAAGCACUUUUUGUCACUGGAUCUUGAGGGUUUUUCUAACCUCUGCCUUUAUUAUGCAUGUUGCUGCCUCUGCAAAGCUACCCCUUCGUGAGACCAAUAUUGUGCCUGUGUAAAAUAACUUGUGAGAGCUUUUUACUUUAUAUAUUUUUUAUGUCAUGGAAGAUUCCUUUUAUAUUGCUGCUGCUGUAAAGCCAUACUUG
Molecule: non-coding RNA, 1616 nt
Organism: Dermacentor albipictus
Lineage: Eukaryota; Metazoa; Arthropoda; Arachnida; Ixodida; Ixodidae
Source: RefSeq, a predicted model, not a curated record